This 253-nucleotide ribosomal RNA is filed under the name uncultured bacterium. Its description in RNAcentral is "partial 16S ribosomal RNA". It matches the Rfam family "Bacterial small subunit ribosomal RNA", at positions 524 to 776 of the family's 1533-position model. The record is from RNAcentral.
UACGUAGGUGGCAAGCGUUGUCCGGAUUUACUGGGCGUAAAGCGCGCGCAGGCGGCCUGGUCAGUCUGGGGUGAAAUCUCACGGCUCAACCGUGAGUGGUCCCUGGAUACUGCCAGCCUUGAGGUGUCUAGAGGAGAGCGGAAUUCCCGGUGUAGUGGUGGAAUGCGUAGAUAUCGGGAAGAACACCAGUGGCGAAAGCGGCUCUCUGGGGACCACCUGACGCUGAGGCGCGAAAGCGUGGGGAGCGAACAGG